GUCUGGCAAACCACGGACAGACCAGGCACAUGGUAAGAGGAACAGCCCAGGACGGGGUACGGUGCCCUCACCCAUGAGCUCUCUGGGGUGUUGGGAAGAGGCCUGGCCAGCCCCACCAGGUGCCAUGUGGAAGCUUCCAGGAGGCCUGGCAAGACCAGAGGGGCUGCCGCAUGCGGGGGCCAACCAGCCCUCAGGGCUGCCCUGGGCCAGGCUGGGUGGUGGGGGGCCGACCAGCCUUCAGGGCUGCCCUGGGCCAGGCUGGGGGUCCGUGUAGCUCACUGGGGUGGUGGUGGGGGGUCCGCCAGCCUUCAGGGCUGCCCUUGGCCCAGGCUGGGGGGUCCGUGUAGCUCACUGGGGUGGUGGGGGGUUGGCCAGGCGCAGCACCUUGGCUCGUGGCCCCUCCCAGCGGGAGCCCUGCAGGUUGAGGUGGAGCUGGCCCUUGGCUGGCUGCCCAGGAAGCGCACCCCCUCUGCAGGGACCAAGCCGGAACCUCCUGCUCAACGGGAAGUCCUACCCCACCAAAGUGCGCCUGAUCCGGGGGGGCUCCCUGCCCCCAGUCAAGCGGCGGCGGAUGAACUGGAUCGACGCCCCUGAUGACGUGUUCUACAUGGCUACAGAGGAGACCAGGUAGGGCCUUCCCAGGGCAGGCGGGAGGGCUCCGCACAGCGUCCCGGCCCUCACCACCACCUCUGCCCACAGGAAGAUCCGCAAGCUGCUUUCAUCCUCGGAAACCAAGCGUGCUGCCCGCCGGCCCUACAAGCCCAUCGCCCUGCGUCAGAGCCAGGCCCUGCCGCUGCGGCCACCGCCACCUGCGCCUGUCAACGACGAGCCCAUCGUCAUCGAGGACUAGGGGCCGCCCCCACCUGCGGCCGC
Molecule: small RNA, 873 nt
Filed under: Pongo abelii (Sumatran orangutan)
Lineage: Eukaryota; Metazoa; Chordata; Mammalia; Primates; Hominidae
Description: retained intron
Source: RNAcentral